AGCGAACGCUGGCGGCGUGCCUAACACAUGCAAGUCGAGCGAAGGCAUGAGUGUAGCAAUACACUUAUGUACUUAGCGGCGGACGGGUGAGUAACACGUGGAUAAUCUGCCCUGAGGACCGGGACAACUCUUGGAAACGGGAGCUAAUACCGGAUGUGACCACGAUGCUUGAGGGCAUUGGGGUAAAAGGCGGCCUGCAAGGGCUAUUGCCUUGGGAUGAGUCACGACCCAUCAGGUAGUUGGGGAGG
Molecule: ribosomal RNA, 248 nt
Filed under: uncultured bacterium
Lineage: Bacteria
Description: partial 16S ribosomal RNA
Rfam family: Bacterial small subunit ribosomal RNA
Source: RNAcentral